UCACAGCUUACGCUGGCAGUUUCUCUAGAGUUCCACCAAUUAAGGUAUGGCAACUAGAAAUAGGGGUUGCGCUCGUUAUGGGACUUAACCCGACACCUCACGGCACGAGCUGACGACAGCCAUGCAGCACCUAGACAGUUGUCUUGCGAAAGUCUCCUUUCAGAGACGGUCAACUGUCUUUCAAGCCCAGGUAAGGUUCCUCGCGUACCAUCGAAUUAAACCACAUGCUCCUCCGCUUGUGCGGGCCCCCGUCAAUUCCUUUGAGUUUCAACCUUGCGGUCGUACUUCCCAGGUGGAUCACUUAAUGCUUUCGCUUAGUCGCUGACUGUGUAUCGCCAACAACGAGUGAUCAUCGUUUACGGUGCGGACUAC
This 372-nucleotide unclassified non-coding RNA is filed under the name uncultured Sphingobacteriales bacterium. RNAcentral describes it as "contains 16S-23S intergenic spacer region". Lineage: Bacteria; Pseudomonadati; Bacteroidota; Sphingobacteriia; Sphingobacteriales. The record is from RNAcentral.